GAGCACGUAGGUGGGUUUGUAAGUCAGAUGUGAAAGCCUUCUGUUCAACGGGAGAAUUGCAUCUGAAACUACAGACCUUGAGUAUAGGAGGGGAGAAUGGAACUUCUGGUGGAGCGGUGAAAUGCGUAGAUAUCAGAAGGAACGCCGGCGGCAAAAGCGAUUCUCUGGCCUAUUACUGACACUCAGUGUGCGAAAGCUAGGGGAGCAAACGGGAUUAGAUACCCCGGUAGUCCUAGCCGUAAACGAUGGGCACUAAGUAGAGGGGUUUU
RNAcentral lists this ribosomal RNA (269 nucleotides) under uncultured Planctomycetales bacterium. RNAcentral describes it as "partial 16S ribosomal RNA". It matches the Rfam family "Bacterial small subunit ribosomal RNA", at positions 565 to 832 of the family's 1533-position model. Lineage: Bacteria; Pseudomonadati; Planctomycetota; Planctomycetia; Planctomycetales. The record is from RNAcentral.